AUUGAACGCUGGCGGCAGGCCUAACACAUGCAAGUCGAGCGGAUGAAGGGAGCUUGCUCCUGGAUUCAGCGGCCGACGGGUGAGUAAUGACUAGGAAUCUGCCUGGUAGUGGGGGAUAACGUCCGUAAGCGGGCGCUAAUACCGUAUACGUCCUGAGGGAGAAAGUGGGGGAUCUUCGGACAUCACGCUAUUAGAUGAGACUAGGUCGGAUUAGCUAGUUGGUGGGGUAAAGGCCUACCAAGGCGACGAUCCGUAACUGGUCUGAGAGGAUGAUCAGUCACACUGGAACUGAGACACGGUCCAGACUCCUACGGGAGGCAGCAGUGGGGAAUAUUGGACAAUGGGCGAAAGCCUGAUCCAGCCAUGCCGCGUGUGUGAAGAAGGUCUUCGGAUUGUAAAGCACUUUUAUUUGGGAAGAAGAGCAGUAAGUUAAUACCUGGCUGUUUUGACGGUACCAACAGAAUAAGCACCGGCUAACUUCGUG
RNAcentral lists this ribosomal RNA (484 nucleotides) under uncultured bacterium. Its description in RNAcentral is "partial 16S ribosomal RNA". It matches the Rfam family "Bacterial small subunit ribosomal RNA", at positions 30 to 507 of the family's 1533-position model. The record is from RNAcentral.